This 682-nucleotide long non-coding RNA is filed under the name Numida meleagris (helmeted guineafowl). RNAcentral's name for it is "lncRNA (ENSNMEG00000002933.1)". The record is from RNAcentral. Lineage: Eukaryota; Metazoa; Chordata; Aves; Galliformes; Numididae.
UGUGUGGGCCCGGAUGUGUGGGUCAGGAUAUGUGGGUCAGUGGGGCCGUGUGGGUCAGUCUGUGUGGGUCAGGAUGUGUGGGUCAGUGUGGCUGUGUGGGUCAGGCUGUGUGGGUCAGGCCAUGUGGGUCAGGAUGUGUGGGUCAGUGGGGCUGUGUGGGUCAGGAUAUGUGGGUCAGUGUGGCUGUGUGGGUCAGGCCGUGGGUCAGUGUGUGGGUCAGUGGGGCCGUGUGGGUCAGUGUGUGGGUCAGGACGUGUGGGUCAGUGGGGACGUGUGGGUCAGUCUGUGUGGGUCAGUCUGUGUGGGUCAGUCUGUGUGGGUCCGGAUAUGUGGGUCCGGAUGUGUGGGUCAGUGUGGCUGUGUUGGUCCGGAUGUGUGGGUCAGUGUGGCUGUGUGGGUCAGGCCGUGUGGGUCAGUCUGUGGGUCCGGAUGUGUGGGUCAGUGUGGCUGUGUGGGUCCGGAUGUGUGGGUCAGGAUAUGUGGGUCAGUGGGGAUGUGUGGGUCCGGAUGUGUGGGUCAGGAUGUGUGGGUCAGUGGGGAUGUGUGGGUCAGUCGGGAUAUGUGGGUCAGGCCGUGUGGGUCAGUGUGUGGGUCAGUCCGUGUGGGUCAGGCCAUGUGGGUCAGGAUAUGUGGGUCAGUGGGGCUGUGUGGGUCCGGAUGUGUGGGUCCGGAUGUGUGGGUC